RNAcentral lists this ribosomal RNA (245 nucleotides) under uncultured Lachnospiraceae bacterium. RNAcentral describes it as "partial 16S ribosomal RNA". It matches the Rfam family "Bacterial small subunit ribosomal RNA", at positions 524 to 768 of the family's 1533-position model. Lineage: Bacteria; Bacillati; Bacillota; Clostridia; Lachnospirales; Lachnospiraceae. The record is from RNAcentral.
UACGUAGGGGGCAAGCGUUAUCCGGAUUUACUGGGUGUAAAGGGAGCGCAGACGGAAGAACAAGUCUGAUGUGAAAAUCCCGGGCUCAACCCGGGAAUUGCAUUGGAAACUGUACUUCUAGAGUGCAGGAGAGGUAAGUGGAAUUCCUAGUGUAGCGGUGAAAUGCGUAGAUAUUAGGAGGAACACCGGUGGCGAAGGCGGCUUACUGGACUGUAACUGACGUUGAGGCUCGAAAGCGUGGGGAG